CCUACGGGAGGCAGCAGUGGGGAAUAUUGCACAAUGGGGGAAACCCUGAUGCAGCGACGCCGCGUGAGUGAAGAAGGAUUUCGGGAUGUAAAGCUCUAUCAGCAGGGAAGAAAAUGACGGUACCUGAGGAAGAAGCCCCGGCUAACGACGUGCCAGCAGCCGCGGUAAUACGUAGGGGGCAAGCGUUAUCCGGAUUUACUGGGUGUAAAGGGAGCGUAGACGGCAGCACCAGUCUGGAGUGAAAUGCCGGGGCUUAACCCCGGAACGGCUUUGGAAACGGUGCAGCGAGAGUGCAGGAGAGUUAAGUGGAAUUCCUCGUGUAGCGGUUACAUGCGUCGCUAUUAGG
This 346-nucleotide ribosomal RNA is filed under the name uncultured bacterium. RNAcentral describes it as "partial 16S ribosomal RNA". It matches the Rfam family "Bacterial small subunit ribosomal RNA", at positions 338 to 701 of the family's 1533-position model. The record is from RNAcentral.